UGAAUAAUGACCAAAUUAGAAGAAAAUUGAUCCUACUUGGGUGGACUAAUGUUGAGGCUUGUACCCUUUAACAAGCCACUUCAAAGCAAUGUUUUUACAUUACAUAGAACUACAGAAAGUUCUAACCCUAGCAUACAGUGUAAGAAAAUCUUCUCAAUUUUCUUUUCAAUGGUAUAUUUGCACAUCCUUGGUUAGAUAGAUAGAUCACUUUCAUAGCUAUUUUUCAGUCUUCAUCUUAUUUUCUCCAUUUUCAGGAACAUUAUUAUGACCGGGGACUGGUGAAGCCGAAGCUGCUGCGGCCGUAGGUGGAACAAUCGAUUUGGCAACACCAUUGCUAGUGGCACCCUGCUGAUGCAAACUCUCGGUAGUCAUAUUUCCAGUGCCGUUAUUGAUUGGAUCCUUCUGGCUCUCCAAUUCACUUCUAGCUAACGACGAACACUUUGUUUCUGAAAUUGGAAAAAGAGAGUUUAGGUCAUGCAAAAUUCAUGCUUUUCUAAUAGCAUACUACAUUUUGAUGUUUAUGCAGAACUCUUGAUGGGCAUAGUAACAAAGGCAAAAUACACUAAUUGAAGAUACUUCAAAUGAUAUGAAAGGAUCAUAUGAAUGUUUUAGAAAGUAAGUUAUAACUGAAAAUGAGGACAAAAUAGUAACUUGCCAUUUAUUUCUCCCAUGGUGAUAACUCUGUUGAGGAAAUCUCUAAACUUUGUUAAGACAAUCCUUUCUUGCUCGGCGUAGACCUCUGUCAUUCCUUGUCCGUAAGGAAAUUCCGAGGAUGUGUUGCAGCCAUGAGCCAUUGUGCCAACUGGAGAGGCAGCUGUCAUGAACGUAUCUUGCUCGUCACACAUCAAAGCUAAAGUCCCAG
Molecule: long non-coding RNA, 862 nt
Filed under: Arachis ipaensis
Lineage: Eukaryota; Viridiplantae; Streptophyta; Magnoliopsida; Fabales; Fabaceae
Description: long non-coding RNA (AIPA_LNC001320)
Source: RNAcentral